Molecule: ribosomal RNA, 484 nt
Filed under: uncultured bacterium
Lineage: Bacteria
Description: partial 16S ribosomal RNA
Rfam family: Bacterial small subunit ribosomal RNA
Source: RNAcentral
AUUGAACGCUGGCGGCAGGCCUAACACAUGCAAGUCGAGCGGAUGAAGGGAGCUUGCUCCUGGAUUCAGCGGCGGACGGGUGAGUAAUGCCUAGGAAUCUGCCUGGUAGUGGGGGAUAACGUCCGGAAACGGGCGCUAAUACCGCAUACGUCCUGAGGGAGAAAGUGGGGGAUCUUCGGACCUCACGCUAUCAGAUGAGCCUAGGUCGGAUUAGCUAGUUGGUGGGGUAAAGGCCUACCAAGGCGACGAUCCGUAACUGGUCUGAGAGGAUGAUCAGUCACACUGGAACUGAGACACGGUCCAGACUCCUACGGGAGGCAGCAGUGGGGAAUAUUGGACAAUGGGCGAAAGCCUGAUCCAGCCAUGCCGCGUGUGUGAAGAAGGUCUUCGGAUUGUAAAGCACUUUAAGUUGGGAGGAGGGGCAGUAAGUUAAUACCUUGCUGUUUUGACGUUACCAACAGAAUAAGCACCGGCUAACUUCGCG